RNAcentral lists this ribosomal RNA (427 nucleotides) under uncultured bacterium. Its description in RNAcentral is "bacterial SSU rRNA". It matches the Rfam family "Bacterial small subunit ribosomal RNA", at positions 355 to 774 of the family's 1533-position model. The record is from RNAcentral.
UAGGGAAUUUUGGACAAUGGGCGCAAGCCUGAUCCAGCAAUGCCGCGUGCAGGAUGAAGGCCUUCGGGUUGUAAACUGCUUUUGUACGGAGCGAAAAGGUCUGCCCUAAUACGGUGGGCUCAUGACGGUACCGUAAGAAUAAGCACCGGCUAACUACGUGCCAGCAGCCGCGGUAAUACGUAGGGUGCGAGCGUUAAUCGGAAUUACUGGGCGUAAAGCGUGCGCAGGCGGUUAUGCAAGACAGAGGUGAAAUCCCCGGGCUCAACCUGGGAACUGCCUUUGUGACUGCAUAGCUGGAGUGCGGCAGAGGGGGAUGGAAUUCCGCGUGUAGCAGUGAAAUGCGUAGAUAUGCGGAGGAACACCGAUGGCGAAGGCAAUCCCCUGGGCCUGCACUGACGCUCAUGCACGAAAGCGUGGGGAGCAAACA